RNAcentral lists this ribosomal RNA (718 nucleotides) under uncultured bacterium. RNAcentral describes it as "bacterial SSU rRNA". It matches the Rfam family "Bacterial small subunit ribosomal RNA", at positions 56 to 787 of the family's 1533-position model. The record is from RNAcentral.
UGCAAGUCGAACGAGAGAUGAGGAGCUUGCUCUUCAAAUCGAGUGGCGAACGGGUGAGUAACGCGUGAGGAACCUGCCUCAAAGAGGGGGACAACAGUUGGAAACGACUGCUAAUACCGCAUAAGCCCACGGCUCGGCAUCGAGCAGAGGGAAAAGGAGCAAUCCGCUUUGAGAUGGCCUCGCGUCCGAUUAGCUAGUUGGUGAGGUAAUGGCCCACCAAGGCGACGAUCGGUAGCCGGACUGAGAGGUUGAACGGCCACAUUGGGACUGAGACACGGCCCAGACUCCUACGGGAGGCAGCAGUGGGGAAUAUUGCACAAUGGGGGAAACCCUGAUGCAGCGACGCCGCGUGGAGGAAGAAGGUCUUCGGAUUGUAAACUCCUGUUGUUGAGGAAGAUAAUGACGGUACUCAACAAGGAAGUGACGGCUAACUACGUGCCAGCAGCCGCGGUAAAACGUAGGUCACAAGCGUUGUCCGGAAUUACUGGGUGUAAAGGGAGCGCAGGCGGGAGAACAAGUUGGAAGUGAAAUCCAUGGGCUCAACCCAUGAACUGCUUUCAAAACUGUUUUUCUUGAGUAGUGCAGAGGUAGGCGGAAUUCCCGGUGUAGCGGUGGAAUGCGUAGAUAUCGGGAGGAACACCAGUGGCGAAGGCGGCCUACUGGGCACCAACUGACGCUGAGGCUCGAAAGCGUGGGUAGCAAACAGGAUUAGAUACCC